UUAAACCUAUUUAAAAUGACGGCAUUUAAUUUAAUUAAAGGAAUCUGUUUUAUAAUCGAUAAUCCACGAUAAUUUUUACUUAUAUAUAAAAUUUAUAUAUCGCCAUCUAAAGAAUUAAUUAUAUAAUAAUAUUCUAUAAAAAGUUAGGUCAAGGUGUAAUUUACAUUAAAGCAAAUAAUGGAUUACAUUAAAAACAAUUUAAGGAUUUAAUAAAAAAAUUUUUUAAUUAAAAAGAAUUUAAAAGUAAUAUUAUAAUAAUAUUUUAAUAUG
Molecule: ribosomal RNA, 270 nt
Filed under: Artoria flavimana
Lineage: Eukaryota; Metazoa; Arthropoda; Arachnida; Araneae; Lycosidae
Description: partial 12S ribosomal RNA
Source: RNAcentral